GAUGAAGAACGCAGCAAAAUGCGAUAAGUAAUGUGAAUUGCAGAAUUCAGUGAAUCAUCGAAUCUUUGAACGCACAUUGCGCCCGCUGGUAUUCCGGCGGGCAUGCCUGUUCGAGCGUCAUUUCAACCCUCAAGCCCCCGGGUUUGGUGUUGGGGAUCGGCUCUGCCCUCUGGGCGGUGCCGCCCCCGAAAUACAUUGGCGGUCUCGCUGCAGCCUCCAUUGCGUAGUAGCUAACACCUCGCAACUGGAACGCGGCGCGGCCAUGCCGUAAAACCCCAACUUCUGAAUGUUGACCUCGGAUCAGGUAGGAAUACCCGCUGAACUUAAGCAUAUCAAUAAGCGGAGGG
Molecule: unclassified non-coding RNA, 347 nt
Filed under: soil metagenome
Description: partial contains 5.8S ribosomal RNA, internal transcribed spacer 2, and large subunit ribosomal RNA
Rfam family: 5.8S ribosomal RNA (bases 1-120)
Source: RNAcentral